CAGAAACUCAGAAACUCACAAAGCAGGGGUGAGACCUCUGCUCGACAGCAAAGGCAGGCAGCGUCCCUCAUCCCUGCACCACGAGGGCGUCACAGCCCCUUCCCGGGUGGCCACAGCCACAGGGCACCCUGCGCCCUCUCCGGGCCUCGCCUUCCUCUUCUGAAACAGGACGGUGAUCUCAUCCCCCUCACAGGCUGAUGCAGAGACCUAAGGAGCACACUGGCUGUACACGGAGGAAAGCACCUCGGUUUCCUGAAGCAGUGUGGCAUUCGAGUCUGAUUUCCAGCAACUCCACUGCCCCCGCAGCCAGACUUUGCAUGAGCAGAGUUCGCAAACCUUCUAGAAUCUGGCGAGGAACAGAGGAAAUCAGCUAAAGGGCGUAACAGGAAGUGGGGCCUGGACCGGGAACCUGGUUCCUCCGCUCUUUCCCUAUAGGUACAGAAGGAACAGGCCCAGGAAUGAGUAAGAAUGUUUUUCUCUACAAAUAACUCACACCCAAGCCUCAAGCAGGGUUAGGGAGUGAGGCAUUGUGUCAUCACCUACCACAGGAAGCCCAGAGCCAGGGCAGACUCCAGACACGGCACGCAGGGUUGUGACUCUACACACCUGGCGCCUGGGGCACUGGUGUCUUCCAGGCAGCUCUGCCAGGUGUCACAUCUGGACAAGACAGAGAGGUACUAUCUUCCCCUUAGGAGUGAUGAACUCCUUUCCAGAAGCUUCCUGCAGGCUUCUCCUCAUGCCUCACGUCUAGAAUAGAGUGAUCUGCAUGUUCCAAGAACAGUCACUGGUUGGAGAGUUGGUAUCACCGUGACUGGGUGAGCCUGAUGGCUCUAAACUCUGGCUGUACAUCAGAAGCACACACUGAGCUUCUGAAAAGGAGAGGCCUGGGCCCCACUUCCAGAGAUUCAGUUCAAUGGAUCUCCUGUAGUACCUGAGCAUCAGAACUUCGUAGCCCCCGAAGGUGCAUGCUACGGCCAGAAAGAAACUCAGGGAAAAAUGGAUGUUGCAGAGACGUCGCCACAAAUGAAACCCACAGCGACAGGAGAAAGCGGCUCGCGUCCCGUUGAAGAAGAUGCUUCCCUGGAUUACUGUGCAGAGUUGAAGCUUUACCUUUCACCUGGAGAACGCGUGGUUCUGUGACCAAAACAGUGGCAGCUCCUCCACCAGCCCCUGCUGCUCCCAUCCCUUCCAGGGAAGAAACUUUUGUUUCUGUGAUGCCAGCGCAGGCAUUCAGAGCAAAGCCACUUCCAGGAAAUUCUAAGAAUGAGGUGCGGGCACCACUGGGCUGGCGCAUGAGAGUCAUGUGCCUCAGACUCCACGCCCCCUGCUGACCGUGCCCACAGGCUCCCAGGUUAUCUGUGGCGGAGGUCAGGGUCUGCUGGGCAGGGUCAGGGAUGUCUGGUUGGGCUGAAGCAGAUGCAGGGGUCCUGCGGUCACCACUGCCUCCGAUGAAGCUCUGAAUGGUCUUCUCUGUUCUUCCAUACGGUCAUGUGCCACACAACAACAUUUCCAACCACAGACAGCGUAUACUAUGGUUGUCCUGUAAGAGUAUAAGGGAGCUGAAAAAUUCCUAUCAUGUGAUGACAUUGUAGCCACCUCAACGUCUUAGCACAAUUAUAUAUAUAUACACACACACAUAUAUAUACUUUAUAUGUAGAGAGAGAGAGUGUGGCCUACGUGUGCAGUGUUUAUAAAGUCUGCAGUAGUCAUAGUGAUGUCCUAGGUCUUCACAUUCACUCCCGACUCACCCACUGACUCACAAGAGCAGCUGCCAGUCCUGCAAGCUCCACUCAUGAUUAGCCUUCGAGCUUCCUGAGAACUGAGACAACGAGGUCCCCUCCAUCUUUGAGUCAGCCUGGCCUCGGGGACAGAGGAUGGAUUUUGGAGUCGGACAAGCCCCGGCUGAGGCUCCCUUCAGGUGUUCACUUGGGCAACAACACGGUGGCUGUGGGAUGACUUGGCUUGUGCGGGACUCUGAGUAGCACGGCCCAGCCGUGACCUCUUGCUGUCCCUCCAGUCCACAGGGACCUGAAUGCAGGUGGUCACCAGCCUCCUCUGGAGCAUAUCACUUCCAGUAGUUGGUAUCUGCAUUAAUAGCCCUUGGGAGGACAGGGGCCCUGAGGGGGGUUUCCUGUAACCAAAGAGGUAAUGUAAUAUGGUGGAGUUCCUAAGGGAUUCAAGAUUAGGCUAAUCCUGCCCUUCAAACAUUUCCCCUGAAACCUCUCAGUCAUGACCUUCCAAGACGAGAAGCUUCACGGCAGGCAAUGAACAGAGACGGCGUCAUCUCCAAGGCUCAGUGGAGCGAGUCACGUCACCCUCACUUAGCUGCAUGGCGCAUACCAUGAGUCUUGACCAUCACCCGUGGCUUCAUAAAAACUGACCUUUAUUCAGUGAGACCUUCCUGAGUGUCCGUGCUGCGUUUAACUCUUUGAAACAUAAUCUCAUUUAGUCCUCACAGCAUCACCCAGGAGGGAGAUACUAUCUUCAUUCCCGUUUUGCAGGUUCAUCGACGUGUAAGGAUGUCCCCAUCCUGAAGGCUGAAUGAUGGCCGUUGUGUGCACAGACCACGUAAUGUUGAUCCAUUCGUCUGUUGGUGGGUGCUCGGCUGCUUCCGCCUCUCGGCUAUUGUGAACAGAGCUGCCGUGAAGACAGGAGUGCAAGUAUCUCUCUGAGACUGUGCUUCCCAUUCUUUGUGUGAUGCCCAGAAGUGGAACUGCUGGACCCUACAGUCAUUCUGUUUCCUUUUUUGAGGAACUGCCAUACUCUUCACCACAGUGGCUGCACCAUUUUACAUUAUCUUAUUCACCCAUUCUUUAAAUCACUGUUUUUUGGAAGGCAGAAAACUGUAGCUCACUGGGAAACCAGCCACAUCAUUGGUGCUCAGAGCAUUGAAGGUCUGUCUCUUGGGAACCCAGAGAUUUAGGGAGUCCCAGCUCUCUGUCCAGCCACACAGACAAUGAGUGCUGCCUGCCUAGAGCUGCCCGAAUGGGGAGGGGCAUGUAGCUUGGCACGAAGAUGGACUCCUGUGCCAAAAACAGCCGCACACAAAGCCCUCUGGUGUGAAAUGGUAUUGGAGUUAGUUAUGCAGGAGAAUGUCCUUGUUUGGGAAGUAUGUGCAGAAGUGUUUAGGGGUAAAGCAGCGGCACUGCCAUGCAGGAGAGGCAGCACAGGACCCUCCUGUUGGAGUGCUGCCCCCCAGCCCCCUGCCCACUAACAGGGUUCCUGAAGAGCUAAGAGCCUUUCGAUCUGCUAGACUGUCUGGCGAGGGUUUCCCUGACUAUUCUCCACGGGGAGUUCACCCAGCUGGAAACAAUAACUGCCCCUGCACCCGAUUCCUGAACCCCCCCGCACCCCACUGUAGUCUGCAAAACUCCCAUCACCUGAACAACAGACCAGAGGAGGAAAGAUUCACAGCACUCCACUGACCAGCUAAUACUUACUGAACACCAGGGACGCUGAGAACUGGGGCAGAAGGAGGCUCCAAGGGCUUCCCCUUCUAAUCCCGGCAUCAUGAGUUCAUUCACUGGUGCAACUCAGUAAACAUUUCCUGGGCACCUACUCCAGAAAUGAAAGGCAUGGAUGGGGCAGCCACCUAACAAGAGGCAAACACUAUCGCCUGGUCUUUUUUUACUAAUUAGAGCAGAACGCUUUUGUAUCAAAAUAACUGAAUUAUGAAACCAGCUGUGCAAAAAUCCUAAGUGAGACACAAAGAUUUUUCAGACUCAUCAGUUGCUGUCACCAUUCAAGAAAGCCAUUGCCUUAGGGACCUUGCAGAUUUCACCAUGAAAUAGGUAAAUAUGAACUCAUCUCCACGUCUUUCCCACUGACGCAGUAGCCCGCGCUCCUGGCCCUAGAAUGAAAUACGACCCACGGAUGCUGAGUGCCCCUGUCUGUGUACAGCCUGAGCGGAGCCACAAAUACACUCUGUCUUCAGCAAUCCAUCUGAAAUCAAGGAGAGAGGACCAAGAUGUGGGAAAUAAUUAAACAAAGUGCAAAGAAAAUAAACAGCAGGAGCAGCUUGGGCUAGCUGCGGGUGGUCAUUCCAGAGGGCGUGCAGCCCUGGAGCUGGCAGAAUGGGAUUCAGAAGGAUGGAGAAGGGCAGGAGGACUACACCAUGGUGGAAUGGCCAGGGCUGCUGAGGGGAGAGGGCCGCAGCUGAGGGAACAAUGCCUUUGGCCUCCGCGUGGUGUGAAGGUGAGCAUGGCCAUGCAAGUGCUGCAACAGCAACAAAUCCUGUGUCACUGCAUUAUUAAAUAGUACUCAUUUUCACUAACGGAGGAAAGAGGAACACACUGGUUAAUUCCCUAUGUUGUGUUCCAGGGAGCUGGGCACAGCUGGCAUCAUAUCAUCAGGAGACUCUCCACACAUUCCAGGCACUUAGAGAAAUGGGAAACGGCGCAGGGUGGGUGGAGAAAAGGAGAAACGAACAUGUUCAAAGGAUCCGCUCACUUUUCUAUAUCGCUAACAGGUCAAGCCAUUUGUUUGAGCAGAGGCAUUUUGGGGUCUAUGAUAAGCAGAGUGAGGGCCCGAGUUGAAGACAGUGGGAGACUGAGGGAGGAGAGGAAGGGCAUCUUAAGGCAGGGGGCCCCCGGGCCAGGGCCCCCCAGGGAAAGCCUGGGCAGUGUGUGACUCGGCCUCUGAGCCGUCCACUGCGAGAGCCUCUCAGCUGAAUCCUUGAUAUUUUGCAACACACGUAAUAUCAUGGCCAAUGGUCUGAGGGUGUGGGAUUCACUCAAGCUGGGGGUGACUUCCACAUUUGGGUGUGUGUAGAGGAUGAGGACAGACUGGGAGCCAAGACCCCAGGAAGUCUGUCAUGCAGGGAGCACAGGUGUGGGCACCUCGGCCCCUGAGGGUCCCUCCCGACAUCUGGAGUAUAAGGAACCCAGCAUGAAACAAACCUCAGGAACCAGGGAGACCUUGGCCGCACUUGGGCCUUCAAUACAUGAAUGUGGAAGAGCCUCGUACCAUUCAAUUAUUACUCACAUGAAGCAACUGCUGCGCUGUCGUUGCUGUUUUUGCUUGUACCUGUCCCGCCCCUCCCCCAGCAAAGUCAGUUAGAAGCAGACGCUGCUCAGUAACCAGUGGUACUUUCAUUAUUGAUGGCUUGGUUUCAUGCUAUCUGUGAUCUCCUUCCCUUUCUCUUUUUACUGAUCUCACCGGUAUUUGAAAAUUGGUACACGAUGUAGCUGACUACACCGUAGUCAAUUUUUUGAUUUCCCCAUCCACCAAGAAACGCUCCCUUACGGGUCAAAAAGCAAUUCCCCGGCUCUCUUCCCUUUUCCUGCGCACCGGCAGGCAGCCUUUCCUGCUGGUCCCAGUGCUUCUCGGAGGGCACCAUCACGCGCCGCCCUGGCCUCGCCCACGCAGGGCUCUGGAACGGCCCUGUGGCUGAGGCCAAGGGCACCCCUCCAAUGCCCACUGCCCUGCUGAUAUCCCCGACACCGCCCACCUCUCCACCUUCCACGCUGCUCCGCCCUCCUCCGCCACACACACUCCAAACCUGCAGUAUUCUGAGAAACGCUGAUUCACGUGUCAAUGGGGGGUAUAGGAAGAGAGAUGAAGAUAGUCAAGUUUCCAUUCUCAAAAUUCUCAAAAUUCAAAGGAAAACACCAUUGAGGUAGCUUAUGAUUAUUGGCACCUUACAGACUGGGAAACUGAGGCUCCUUCUGCCAAGGACGAGGGGCAGGAGGAACCAAAGGUCUGCAGAGAAGACAGAAAGCUGCCAGCGCCUCUCCAGGGCCUUGAUGGGGAGCUGGUGCUCGGCCCCAGCAGCCCUGGGGCAAUCUCUAAAGCAGAGAAAGAGAGGUGCUUCAUGAAGAGGUCUUGGGCUUUCUUUAGAAUUCAGCCCUUCCCCUUUCUUCUUCCUAGGGGACUCCCAGCAUAGUUUACCCUGGGAGCCCUGACUGUGUUGCAACGGGCUCAGGGUAGAGACCCGGUGACAUGGAACCAGCCAGGCAGCAACCUAUGCCUGCAAGUGAGUGUGGAGAAGAAGGAGGUGCAGGAUCUGCCGCAAGGAGGGGCGCUCAGCAUCAGUCUUGUGAAGUCAUCAGUGUGCUCCGCUGUCCAUGUAGCAGCAGUUACACCAGCCAAAGAGAGAAACAAAGUCAGGGCAUGUGUACGUGCCCCGGUGCCCUUUUGGUUUCCGUUAGGCACCUUGCUCAAUUUCCUGAUAAACAAAACAGAGCCAUCUGUGACUCUUCCAGCACACCUCCACUUUUAGGGAAUUUUUAGGGAUUUUAGGUCCCAGAGAGGAGAAACAGAACAGGGGAAGAAGUGCCCGAUCGGUGUUAGGGGCCAUGGUUCGAGGUCCUGCUUGUGUGACCUUCAGCAAGUUACCUUCCCUGUUUGCUUCCAUUUCCACACCUGUGCAACAGGGCUGCGCUCUGUCUGAGAGACUAGAGGGUCACGUCGGAUCAUGAAUAGCGUUUGGAACUGCUAAACACGCAUUCAGUAAUCUCAUUUGUCAAGGAUGGGAGCUCAGACCACAGGGCCUGUCUGAGACACAGCUGGGAAGUUUUUUUCUAGUUUCCCUUUUCUGAAAAUCUGCUCCCACUCGGUGGUUUCUCCUGCCUACCACUGGCACCCAGCGUCUGGAUAUGUUGCCUACUGCACUGCCUACCAAGAACGCGUCAACGUUAUCCCCAUGUUGUGUGAGAGCAGGAAAAGAGGGUCUCCAUCUUCGAGCUGAAGAGUCUUUCCCAGAGUGGAUGUGCAGCCACCACCUGCCCAGGGGGUAUUUUCCCAGAGCAUCAUUUCUACUCUACAAAGAAUUUUAAAUUUUGUGGGGUUUAUUUUGUUUGUUUGUUUGUUUGUUUUUUGAGAUGAAGUCUUGUUCUGUUGCCCAGGCUGGAGUGCAGUGGUGUGAUCUCG
RNAcentral lists this long non-coding RNA (6870 nucleotides) under Homo sapiens (human). RNAcentral describes it as "HSALNT0099229". Lineage: Eukaryota; Metazoa; Chordata; Mammalia; Primates; Hominidae. The record is from RNAcentral.